CUCUCCGUAGUUCAAUGGAUAGAACGAGCGCCUCCUAAGCGCUAGAUACAGGUUCGAUUCCUGUCGGAGGGA
Non-coding RNA from Acidovorax sp. JS42, 72 nucleotides. The record is from Rfam. NCBI's taxonomy places the organism in Bacteria, Pseudomonadati, Pseudomonadota, Betaproteobacteria, Burkholderiales, Comamonadaceae.